CCAUGGCUAAUUCCGCAUAUCGAGCGAAAUCUUGAAAGCCUUUCGGACGCCAAAGGAGCAACCUGCGGCCCAUUAGCUUGUUGGUAGGGUAACGGCCUACCAAGGCGAUGAUGGGUAGCUGGUCUGAGAGGAUGACCAGCCACACUGGAACUGAGACACGGUCCAGACUCCUACGGGAGGCAGCAGUGGGGAAUAUUGCGCAAUGGGCGAAAGCCUGACGCAGCCACGCCGCGUGAGUGAUGAAGGCCUUCGGGUCGUAAAACUCUGUCGGGAGGGACGAAGGGGCAACCCUGACGGUACCUCGCAAGAAAGCACCGGCUAACUCUGUG
This 329-nucleotide ribosomal RNA is filed under the name uncultured bacterium. Its description in RNAcentral is "bacterial SSU rRNA". It matches the Rfam family "Bacterial small subunit ribosomal RNA", at positions 157 to 507 of the family's 1533-position model. The record is from RNAcentral.